AGUGAACGCUGGCGGUAGGCCUAACACAUGCAAGUCGAACGGCAGCACAGUAAGAGCUUGCUCUUACGGGUGGCGAGUGGCGGACGGGUGAGGAAUACAUCGGAAUCUACUUUUUCGUGGGGGAUAACGUAGGGAUACUUACGCUAAUACCGCAUACGACCUACGGGUGAAAGCAGGGGAUCUUCGGACCUUGCGCGAUUGAAUGAGCCGAUGUGGGAUUAGCUAGUUGGCGGGGUAAGGGCCCACCAAGGCGACGAUCCGUAGCUGGUCUGAGAGGAUGAUCAGCCACACUGGAACUGAGACACGGACCAGACUCCUACGGGAGGCAGCAGUGGGGAAUAUUGGACAAUGGGCGCAAGCCUGAUCCAGCCAUACCGCGUGGGUGAAGAAGGCCUUCGGGUUGUAAAGCCCUUUUGUUGGGAAAGAAAAGCAGCAGGUUAAUACCCCGCUGUUCUGACGGUACCCAAAGAAUAAGCACCGGCUAACUUCGUG
This 492-nucleotide ribosomal RNA is filed under the name uncultured bacterium. RNAcentral describes it as "partial 16S ribosomal RNA". It matches the Rfam family "Bacterial small subunit ribosomal RNA", at positions 29 to 507 of the family's 1533-position model. The record is from RNAcentral.